Molecule: ribosomal RNA, 253 nt
Filed under: uncultured bacterium
Lineage: Bacteria
Description: partial 16S ribosomal RNA
Rfam family: Bacterial small subunit ribosomal RNA
Source: RNAcentral
UACGGGGGGGGCAAGCGUUGUUCGGAAUUACUGGGCGUAAAGGGCUCGUAGGCGGCCGACUAAGUCAGACGUGAAAUCCCUCGGCUCAACCGGGGAACUGCGUCUGAUACUGGGUGGCUUGAAUCCGGGAGAGGGAUGCGGAAUUCCAGGUGUAGCGGUGAAAUGCGUAGAUAUCUGGAGGAACACCGGUGGCGAAGGCGGCAUCCUGGACCGGCAUUGACGCUGAGGCGCGAAAGCCAGGGGAGCAAACGGG